GUGGUUUGGAACAGGGCAGGGAUGGAGGGAAGGUCCUUGUAUCUUAGACAUCAAAAUCCCAGGAAAAUAAUUAGGAGGUGUUUGGGAUUCUGCUGAAAACUCUGACAACAGAGGGCGAGAAACGGACAGAGCGGAGCUUCAGGGAAAUGCCUGUGGUGAGCUGGAUACAGAGGAUCUCAGAAGGAGAAGAAGCCAGAGGAGUAGGCUGGCCCAGAGCCCAGGUCAUUGAGUCAUGAGGAAUGGCCUUCCGGGAUGGGAAGGGGCUGCUGUCUCUGGACUCUUGCUGAGGACCAGAAAUAUCUCCAAGAGCACCAGCAACCCCAGCUAUCUAGACCCGAAGUGGAUAUACUCAGAGGCAUCCUGGCCUACCCCACCCCUGACCCCAGAGAAGAUGCUGCUGCCCUCAGAAGACGCCAGAGCCAGCCACACUGCAAGUCUGGGAGGAUCGAGCAAGGCAGGCUGCUCAGUGAAGGCUUCCUCUCCUGUAGCAGGAAGAGCAUCGUUAAGAACAAGUAUGCAGGGCUGGACUACUCUGGAGAUGUAAUGACCAGAGCUGAGACCCCCGAGACCAGAGUGACUAUGAAGGACUGUCGUCACCUUGUUCCUGAACAUCUAAUGCCUCUCAGCUCCAGGAGGCCACUGAGGAGAAACCGAAGGCUAGUUUUCCUUGGAAGCCAGCAGCCUGUCCACCUGUUCCACUUCCCUGCCUCUUGCAGCCUCCGCUCAAACACUACCAUGGUUUGGGAGCACGGAAAAACUAGAAAAUACAGAAAUAUAUCAAGAAGAAAGAAAUUUAAAAAUCAACCUGAAUCCCACCAACCAGAGACAGCUAUUAAUGAUUGUGGUAUAUUUAUUGCCCAUGGCAUGGAUGGCACCGACAAUCGAGGCAGGCAGUGCUGGUGGAUACACCUAGGAGGUCCUGUUGGAAGAGGACCAUUCGUGUGCAGAAACGAGGAAAUAGACAUGUAUGAGCUGGAAGAAAAUCUUAUCCGUCUGAUUCAAUUCCCUCAUUUCACAGCUGGGCACAGGAAAAUAGAGAAUAAGGACCCAGGGAACUAA
This 1059-nucleotide long non-coding RNA is filed under the name Callithrix jacchus (white-tufted-ear marmoset). RNAcentral describes it as "lncRNA (ENSCJAG00000084666.1)". Lineage: Eukaryota; Metazoa; Chordata; Mammalia; Primates; Cebidae. The record is from RNAcentral.